CUCGGAUGGUAUUGUCACCAAUAGUCCUCUACAUGGUCCAACUGUGCCGGGACGUAGAAUGGGUACAACCGGUCUUUCUCUUAACAUAACAUAUCAUACAUACCAAUGUGCCAGGGACGUAGAAUGGGUACAACCUGGACUUUCUCUUACAUCGUGCCAGGGACGUAGAAUGGGUACAACCUGGACUUCCAUACCAUAUCAUGCCAUAACAUCAUCAUAUCAUAUGAGGACUAAAGGAUCAU
RNAcentral lists this long non-coding RNA (242 nucleotides) under Manihot esculenta (cassava). Its description in RNAcentral is "long non-coding RNA (MESC_LNC002759)". Lineage: Eukaryota; Viridiplantae; Streptophyta; Magnoliopsida; Malpighiales; Euphorbiaceae. The record is from RNAcentral.